This is a long non-coding RNA of Cyprinus carpio carpio, 1187 nucleotides long. The record is from Ensembl. Lineage: Eukaryota; Metazoa; Chordata; Actinopteri; Cypriniformes; Cyprinidae.
AAAUAAUUGAUCAGAUUGAUUGCUGCUUCUUACUUGCAUUUUUUUAUAUAUAUUUAAAGUACAUUCUAGUUAAAAAUGUAAAAUUACAAAUCAUUUCAUAUUUAAAUGUUGAUCUCAUCCAUCAAAGAUGAUAUGCUUCAACUUUUUCUCUGUAUGGAUUUUGUGGAUAAGCACUAAUGUACAGAAUAAUACAAGUUAAUUUAAAGUAUAUUAUUGUUUAUUUUAUUUGAAUUAUUAUUAUUAUUAUUUAUUUAUUCUUUUGCCAACCCCCAUAAUCCCAUGCCCAAACAUAAUGCAACGCGGUGACAUCGCGCUAUUGCGCCAUUUUGCGACUACUUGGCGGUCUUUUUUUGAAUCGGCAUCAAUUUAUCAGGAGGCCUGCAGUGCACUUACAGCUCGAACUGUGCCAUAUUGUUGUAAGGUUGAUGACAAAUGAGGUCAUGGCCUGUUUCAGUAUGAAGUGGGGGAAGGGGAAGCUUGCCUUCACCAAGAUCAAUCUGUACACUGUUGUCACAGAGAGUGUCCAGAAAACAUCAAAAGAGACGGGGCAAAUAUUGCAGCGGCCACCGCCUUUUGUUUAAAAUAUGCCCCAGCAGAGCCGUCGCAAGGAGGGUGAGAGGCCCUGUGCAAAGUUGACAUGCGAGGCCCUCUACAAUUUUGCGUGUGUGUGUGUGUGUGUGUGUGGUGGGGGAGGUUGCUGUAGUAAGGCAAGGCAAGUUUAUUUAUAUAGCAGAUUUCGUACACAAUGGUAAUUCAAAGUGCUUUACAUAAAAUAAAGUAAAAUAAUCAUGAAGAACAAAACUAAAACAAGCAAUUUUAAAACUUUGGAAAUGAUUUAAAAAUUGACUUGAAUUUAAAACAGUUAGAAAUAGAAAAUGAUUUUACAUAAAAUACAGUGAAUACGUAAAAUACAGUGCAAUCAGGUCGGACAUCGCACAGUGCUCAUUAAAUAAAUGCACAGCUAAACAGAUGAGUUUUGAGUCUAGAUUUAAAUGUGACUAGUGUUUUAGCACAUCUGAUCUCUUCUGGAAGCUGAUUCUGGAAGCAAUGUAUUUUGGUCCUAGGUCACUGAGUGACUUCUAGACGAGUAAAAGUACUUUAAAAUCAAUCCUAAAUGUAACUGGAAGCCAGUGUAAGGACCUGAGGACUGGUGUGAUGUGCUCAGAUGUUCUGGUUCUAGUCAGAAU